GACGAACGCUGGCGGCGUGCUUAGCACAUGCAAGUCGAGCGGUAAGGCCCUUUCGGGGGUACGACGAGCGGCGAACGGGUGAGUAACACGUGGGUGACCUGCCCUCAGCUCUGGGAUAAGCCUGGGAAACUGGGUCGUAAUACCGGAUAUGACUCCAUGACGCAUGUUGUGGGGUGGAAAGCCUUGUGCGGCUGAGGAUGGGCCCGCGGCCUAUCAGCUUGUUGGUGGGGUGGAUGGCCUACCAAGGCGACGACGGGUAGCCGGCCUGAGAGGGCGACCGGCCACACUGGGACUGAGACACGGCCCAGACUCCUACGGGAGGGCAGCAGUGGGGAAUCUUGCGCAAUGGGCGAAAGCCUGACGCAGCGACGCCGCGUGAGGGAUGACGGCCU
This 392-nucleotide ribosomal RNA is filed under the name uncultured bacterium. RNAcentral describes it as "bacterial SSU rRNA". It matches the Rfam family "Bacterial small subunit ribosomal RNA", at positions 28 to 417 of the family's 1533-position model. The record is from RNAcentral.